GGGUACUCUAUGCUGAGAUCUGAUAGCAAGCUGUACUUGUACAGCGAAGUGGUUGAUGCCAUGCUUCCAGGAAAAGUCUCUAAGCUUCAGUUACACAGGAAUCGUACCCGAAACCGACACAGGUGGUCAGGUCGAGUAGACCAAGGCGCUUGAGAGAACUCUGCUGAAGGAACUAGGCAAAAUGGUACCGUAACUUCGGGAGAAGGUACGCUGUUGUUGGUGAUGGAACUCGCUUCCUGAGCUGACGACAGCCGCAGAAACCAGGCCGCUGCAACUGUUUAUUAAAAACAUAGCACUCUGCAAACACGAAAGUGGACGUAUAGGGUGUGAUGCCUGCCCGGUGCUGGAAGGUUAAUUGAU
RNAcentral lists this ribosomal RNA (360 nucleotides) under Klebsiella pneumoniae. RNAcentral describes it as "partial 23S ribosomal RNA". It matches the Rfam family "Bacterial large subunit ribosomal RNA", at positions 1544 to 1885 of the family's 2925-position model. Lineage: Bacteria; Pseudomonadati; Pseudomonadota; Gammaproteobacteria; Enterobacterales; Enterobacteriaceae. The record is from RNAcentral.